This 253-nucleotide ribosomal RNA is filed under the name uncultured bacterium. Its description in RNAcentral is "partial 16S ribosomal RNA". It matches the Rfam family "Bacterial small subunit ribosomal RNA", at positions 524 to 776 of the family's 1533-position model. The record is from RNAcentral.
UACGUAGGGUGCGAGCGUUAAUCGGAAUUACUGGGCGUAAAGCGUGCGCAGGCGGUUCGUUGUGUCGGUGGUGAAAUCCCCGGGCUUAACCUGGGAAUGGCCAUGGAAACUGGCGAACUGGAGUGCGGCAGAGGGGGGUGGAAUUCCGCGUGUAGCAGUGAAAUGCGUAGAGAUGCGGAGGAACACCGAUGGCGAAGGCAGCCCCCUGGGCUAACACUGACGCUCAGGCACGAAAGCGUGGGGAGCAAACAGG